GACGAACGCUGACGGCGUGCUUAACACAUGCAAGUCGAACGGUGAAGCGAGUGCUUGCACUCGUGGAUCAGUGGCGAACGGGUGAGUAACACGUGAGUAACCUGCCCAUCACUCUGGGAUAAGCACUGGAAACGGUGUCUAAUACUGGAUACGACCAACCCUUGCAUGGGGUGUUGGUGGAAAGAUUUAUCGGUGAUGGAUGGACUCGCGGCCUAUCAGCUUGUUGGCGGGGUAAUGGCCCACCAAGGCGAUGACGGGUAGCCGGCCUGAGAGGGUGACCGGCCACACUGGGACUGAGACACGGCCCAGACUCCUACGGGAGGCAGCAGUGGGGAAUAUUGCACAAUGGGCGAAAGCCUGAUGCGGCGACGCCGCGUGAGGGAUGACGGCCUUCGGGUUGUAAACCUCUUUCAGCAGGGAAGAAGCGAAAGUGACGGUACCUGCAGAAGAAGCACCGGCUAACUACGUG
This 469-nucleotide ribosomal RNA is filed under the name uncultured bacterium. RNAcentral's name for it is "partial 16S ribosomal RNA". It matches the Rfam family "Bacterial small subunit ribosomal RNA", at positions 28 to 507 of the family's 1533-position model. The record is from RNAcentral.